AGAUUCUCCCGGACCCACGUGGAAGCGGCACUCAAGAUGGUAGGAGAAUGAGCUCCUGUUUGGGAGCUGCGCCGCGAGGCCCGCCUGCGCCGCGAGUACCUGUACCGCAAGGCCCGGGAGGAGGCGCAGCGCUCAGCCCAGGAGAGGAAGGAGCGGCUGCGGCGCGCGCUGGAAGAAAACCGCCUGAUUCCCACUGAAUUACGCCGAGAGGCUCUGGCCUUACAGGGGUCCCUGGAGUUUGAUGAUGCCGGAGGUGAAGGUGUGACCAGCCACGUGGAUGAUGAAUACCGAUGGGCAGGAGUCGAGGAUCCCAAGGUUAUGAUCACUACCUCCCGGGACCCCAGUUCCCGCCUCAAGAUGUUUGCAAAGGAGCUGAAGCUGGUGUUCCCGGGCGCCCAGCGAAUGAACCGAGGUCGACAUGAAGUGGGGGCACUGGUGCGAGCCUGCAAAGCCAACGGCGUCACCGAUCUGCUGGUCGUUCACGAGCAUCGGGGCACACCUGGUGAGGCCGGAGGGAGGGAGUCGGGGUGGGAACCGUCUGAGGGCAGACGGGGUCUCUGACAG
RNAcentral lists this small RNA (564 nucleotides) under Pongo abelii (Sumatran orangutan). RNAcentral describes it as "retained intron". The record is from RNAcentral. Lineage: Eukaryota; Metazoa; Chordata; Mammalia; Primates; Hominidae.